AACGAACGCUGGCGGCAGGCUUAACACAUGCAAGUCGAGCGCCCACCUCGGUGGGAGCGGCAGACGGGUGAGUAACGCGUGGGAAUCUACCCAGUUCUACGGAAUAACUGAGGGAAACUUCAGCUAAUACCGUAUACGCCUACGGGGGAAAGAUUUAUCGGAAUUGGAUGAGCCCGCGUUAGAUUAGCUAGUUGGUGGGGUAAUGGCCUACCAAGGCGACGAUCUAUGGCUGGUCUGAGAGGAUGAUCAGCCACACUGGGACUGAGACACGGCCCAGACUCCUACGGGAGGCAGCAGUGGGGAAUAUUGGACAAUGGGCGAAAGCCUGAUCCAGCCAUGCCGCGUGAGUGAUGAAGGCCCUAGGGUUGUAAAGCUCUUUCAGUGGUGAAGAUAAUGACGGUAACCACAGAAGAAGCCCCGGCUAACUUCGUG
Molecule: ribosomal RNA, 432 nt
Filed under: uncultured bacterium
Lineage: Bacteria
Description: bacterial SSU rRNA
Rfam family: Bacterial small subunit ribosomal RNA
Source: RNAcentral